Molecule: long non-coding RNA, 1023 nt
Filed under: Heterocephalus glaber (naked mole-rat)
Lineage: Eukaryota; Metazoa; Chordata; Mammalia; Rodentia; Bathyergidae
Description: lncRNA (ENSHGLG00100045815.1)
Source: RNAcentral
CACUCUUUUAUUUUAUUUUAGUUAUUUUUUUAGUCAGGAUCUGGCUUUGUAGUCCAGGCUGGCCUUGAACUACUCACUAUGUAGCCCAGGCUGGCCUCAAACUCAGCAAACCUCCUGCCUCAGCCUCCAAAGUGCUAGGAUUAUGGACAUGCACUACCAUACCAGGUUUUCAGCCCAGCAUGGUGAGUAGUUUGGAGUUGUUCCUUCUGACACAGUCUCUCCUCAUUCUACUCUGAGCCAGGGAUUCUGACCACUGCAGACUGUAUCAUGAAAGUCCUGUUUUCCAUGGCUUUCACUGGGGCUUGGCCAAUGGACACAGCAGGAAAAGAGGACAGGAGAGAGCCCUAGGGUCUUGAUUCCUCUGGCUCCUUCUCUGCCUGCCAACAGUUUUAGUAAUAAGUAUAUUCCUUUUCCUAGUCUAUUUUGUGCUACUCUGUCUUAAUACUGGAACAGAUAAUUCACAAUCAACAAAAAUUAAUCACUCAUUGUUCUGGGAGGUGGGAAGUCUAAGAUCCAGGAGCUGGCAUCCCACAGCAGAAUACAGAAGGACAAGACAGCAAGCACUGAGGAACAAGGGAGGAGAAAGGCAGCCAAGUUUGCUUUUAUAACAAACCUACUCCCACAAUAACAACACUAAUCAUGACCUGAUCACCUCAAGACAGAGACAGACAGACAGCAAGGAAGAGGGAAGGGAGCAGAACUUACUUUUCAAUAACAAAACUACUCCCAUAAUAAUGACAUUGUCUUAAAAACACUUUCUCAUUGCUGGGACAGAAUACCCAGCACUCACAUCCUAAAAGAAGGAUAGGAUUAUUUUGGCUCAUGGUUUUUAGACAAUUCAGUCCACAGUCAACUGGCUCCAAUGCAAGGAGGUCAUGGUAGAAAGUUCUGGUGGACACAAGCUGCUCACAUCACAGCAGCCAGAGAGCAGAGAGAGAAGGGAGGAGUCAGGGAGGAGGAUGGAUCCUUCCAGGUUGUAUUCCCAGUACCUACCCCCAAACAGACCCUGCCUGUACUUUUGAG